UGAGUAACACGUUGGAACCUGCCCCAAAGUGAGGAAUAAGCCACCGAAAGGUGGUCUAAUACUUCAUAAUAUCCAUCUCGUAUGGAUUAAAGCUUUAUGCGCUUUGGGAGGGGCCUGCGUAACAUUAGCUUGUUGGUGAGGUAAAAAGCUCACCAAGGCUUCGAUGUUUAACUGGUUUGAGAGGAUGACCAGUCACACUGGGACUGAGAUACGGCCCAGACUCCUACGGGAGGCAGCAGUAAGGAAUCUUCCACAAUGGGGGCAACCCUGAUGGAGCAAUACCGCGUGCAGGAUGAAGCGUUUCGGCGUGUAAACUGCUUUUAUCACCGAAGAUUAUGACUGUAGGUGAAGAAUAAGGACCGGCUAACUACGUG
RNAcentral lists this ribosomal RNA (374 nucleotides) under uncultured bacterium. RNAcentral describes it as "bacterial SSU rRNA". It matches the Rfam family "Bacterial small subunit ribosomal RNA", at positions 107 to 507 of the family's 1533-position model. The record is from RNAcentral.